Molecule: long non-coding RNA, 312 nt
Organism: Piliocolobus tephrosceles (Ugandan red Colobus)
Lineage: Eukaryota; Metazoa; Chordata; Mammalia; Primates; Cercopithecidae
Exons: 3
Source: RefSeq, a predicted model, not a curated record
UGAGUUUCCCAAGUGGCCAUCAACUACUGUUGUGGCCAGGACAUGGCAAGUUAACUGAAGAUAUACUUAUCCAUGAUUCUGGUACUGUACAAGGAGAUGGUGAUGGAAUUGAGCAACAUGGAAGCUGUCUCUGCCUUCUUGGGUUUUAGCCUUCAGUGAUGGAAGAUGCGAGAGAAGCAAACGGAGUCUUAGAUCAUGAAGGUUCCUCUUUGUUUCCAUAUGACUGAUAGACACCCACGGUCACACUGGAUUAUAGUAUUGCUUUCUUCAUUACCAAGGCAGCUUUAUUAUUGAAACCUGGUGAAACAUCUG